This 508-nucleotide ribosomal RNA is filed under the name uncultured bacterium. Its description in RNAcentral is "partial 16S ribosomal RNA". It matches the Rfam family "Bacterial small subunit ribosomal RNA", at positions 28 to 523 of the family's 1533-position model. The record is from RNAcentral.
GAUGAACGCUAGCUACAGGCUUAACACAUGCAAGUCGAGGGGAAACGACAUCGAAAGCUUGCUUUUGAUGGGCGUCGACCGGCGCACGGGUGAGUAACGCGUAUCCAACCUGCCCACCACUUGGGGAUAACCUUGCGAAAGUAAGACUAAUACCCAAUGAUAUCUCUAGAAGACAUCUGAAAGAGAUUAAAGAUUUAUCGGUGAUGGAUGGGGAUGCGUCUGAUUAGCUUGUUGGCGGGGUAACGGCCCACCAAGGCUACGAUCAGUAGGGGAUUUGAGAGGAAGGUCCCCCACAUCGGAACUGAGACACGGUCCAAACUCCUACGGGGGGAAGCAGUGAGGAAUAUUGGUCAAUGGGCGAGAGCCUGAACCAGCCAAGUAGCGUGCAGGAUGACGGCCCUAUGGGUUGUAAACUGCUUUUAUAAGGGAAUAAAGUGAGCCUCGUGAGGCUUUUUGCAUGUACCUUAUGAAUAAGGACCGGCUAAUUCCGUGCCAGCCGCCGCAGUAA